GGGGCAUUAGCUCAGCUGGGAGAGCACAACACUGGCAGUGUUGGGGUCAGGGGUUCAAGUCCCCUAUGUUCCA
Molecule: transfer RNA, 73 nt
Filed under: Psychrobacillus sp.
Lineage: Bacteria; Bacillati; Bacillota; Bacilli; Caryophanales; Bacillaceae
Also listed under: 1 other name
Description: tRNA-Ala
Rfam family: tRNA
About the family: Transfer RNA (tRNA) molecules are approximately 80 nucleotides in length. Their secondary structure includes four short double-helical elements and three loops (D, anti-codon, and T loops). Further hydrogen bonds mediate the characteristic L-shaped molecular structure. tRNAs have two regions of fundamental functional importance: the anti-codon, which is responsible for specific mRNA codon recognition, and the 3' end, to which the tRNAs corresponding amino acid is attached (by aminoacyl-tRNA synthetases). tRNAs cope with the degeneracy of the genetic code in two manners: having more than one tRNA (with a specific anti-codon) for a particular amino acid; and 'wobble' base-pairing, i.e. permitting non-standard base-pairing at the 3rd anti-codon position.
Source: RNAcentral